AGGAACAAACUUCCAUUACCUCCUACAAACCACUGACCCUGCUCCAGUGAUGCAACCUCGUCUGGUGAGCAUUGGACAUCCCAGCACAACAUCAACACAAUAUGUCAUCGUGGCUGCCAAUGACUACGUAGUCAUUCCACUCCAGGAAGAGGGUCUCACCUGCAGUCUGGACAAACUUUUCAAGUUGUAUUGGACCAUUUUACACCUUUCGAGACUCUUGAGCAGCUUAAGGCCUUCUGUGAACGGCUCGACACUGAUCUUCUGCUCAGAAAGCAGCUGGUGAAAGCUCGUACUGCUCUUGGUGGGCAGAAUUUGGCAGACACGGUGAGGACAAUGCUGAGGAAAAUUGCCACAAACAAAGUCCUGGAGCAGCUUGGCCUCCGUGGAAAGACAGGAAAAGUGGCGUUUGAGGACUUGCCCUUUUACAGAAUAAUAAAUAAGGCAUGCAGGGGUGUUUACAAACAGACGACCACAGCUGAAGUGGAUUGUGAGCUUGGAGAGGUCCUGAAACUGACCGCUUUUCGAAAGGGAGGUUCAAAGUUUGAGGAGAAGAGGAGGAAUUAAGAGGGAGGGCAAAAAAAGAAAAAGAAACAAGCAAAAGAACAGAGAUAGUGACAGUGAGAUGAGUGACCAGGAAGCGACGGCGAAGAAGGGCAAAGGGAAGUGUACAAAGGAAAGAGACAGUGAGAUGAGUGACCAGGAAGCGACGGCGAAGAACAAGGAUAAAGCCAAGAAAACGGACAGUGAGAGUGACAGUGAGAUGAGUGACCAGGAAGCGAAGAGGAAGAAAACAGGGAAAGGGAAAGGGAAAAGAACCAAGCAAACGGGACAGUGAGACCAGUGAGCAUUGAGCAAGUAAACAAAGAGAAGAGAACCAACAAGAAGGGGCAGGAGUACACUGACGCGCACGACCAAGACCACUGCAUUCCAUUUCUAUUGUAUUAUAAUUAUCACUAAGAAAGAAUUAGAGUUUAAUUUUCUGUUUGAGUGUUAGUCCUGACAAUAUAGCACAAAAACAGACGUAAAUAGCAUGUUCCUAAACAGUUCCCUAAACGUUCUAGACAAACGUUCAUGGCUAACGUUCUGCUAACCAAGCAAGAACUCCACAACCUCAAGUUCUUUGAACGUUACAAACUAACGUUCCCAGAACAAUGCCACUAUGUUCUCCUAACGUUCACAUAACGUUCACUUGUUACUGGGUUAUAGUUGAACGAGUGGUCGGCCUAACCAUUGUACAAAAUGUUUUGAUUGUUUGUUAUGGCUAAAGGAUUCAAGGAGGUUGCAGAAUAAACAGGUCCAAAACAACGGGACCUUGACACAUGAGGGAAACACAUACAGUAAAUGGCCACGUCUAUGUAUGAUUCGCAUGAUUCUCGAUUCAUCCAACGUCUCCGGAGGACGUUGUCUGUUUGCAUGACAAUUCAAUCCAACUUUGUACCAUUUUGAUUAUGGGUAAAUAAAACGUUUGUACUAAAUUCACUUUUGUUGCUGUUUAAGAUUCGGACCUUCCACCACAUUGUUAACUAGCAUGUGUUGGUAUUUGGUCACAGAAUCCUUUCGAGGAUUAUUCUACUAAGGUCAAAAGUGCACAUGUCCAUCACAAGUGCUCCAGAGAGUGGUGGCUGUUGCCCCCAGGAAAUCGGGAUCCAACAGCAUUGGAGAUUUGGAGUUUAGGAGAGAUAAUAAAGACAUUAGCAACAUCUGGUAGGAAGCCCCGACAGAUAGGGGUAGAGGAUAGGGGUCGGAGGUCACCCGACUCAAACUGAUCAGAGGAAUAAUGUCAAGGAAAGAUUGACUGGCCAGACUGGCCGGCCCAAAAGCUAGAACAACAAAGAGUAACUGUCUUGGUGUAAAAGAUAUUUAAGGACAGUGGUCCGAGAGACAGCAGAACAGUAAUCCGGCCCAUACUCGUUCUCCUGGAGCUGCAGUUCAAGUCGGAGGCUCGCUGAAACAAAUAAAGCUUUU
Entelurus aequoreus (snake pipefish) is the source of this 1965-nucleotide long non-coding RNA. RefSeq lists it as uncharacterized. The transcript has 9 exons. Lineage: Eukaryota; Metazoa; Chordata; Actinopteri; Syngnathiformes; Syngnathidae. The record is from RefSeq and is a predicted model, not a curated record.